UCACAAAUGUUCGGUUGCAAGUGCCGCCGGUUGCUAUGUCCACGCUCACGGUUGCUAGGAUAAGAAAAUGAGACUCUUAACAUUUUCAGGCGAUAAAAGCCAGCCACUCUGGGUUUGUAACUGCUGUAGCUAACUAUGAUCCCGGUGUUGAUAGUACUACUGGAGGCAUUGAUUGGCUACAGAAGCACUUAGAUUGCUGUGGUAUUCAGAACGCAUCUGAUUGGCGAGAAAACGCCCAAAAAGCUACGAUAUGGAUUAAAACCUAUUUCAACAGCGUUCCAGACUCUUGUUGCAAAAGGCUGCGGGACCAGUGGAACCCAACUCCCAAAUGCGGGGAAGAACAAGGAAUGGGGAAUAGUCCACUCAUCCACAACGGGGGUUGCUACGAGAAGAUGGUAGCUUGGAUCUACACAUACAUGCCUAUGAUGGGGGUCAUGGCUCUGGCGUUCAUUCUCUUCGAAGCUGCUGUUAUCCUGAUUACCUGCGUUCUCAGGAGAGAUGGCUUAUCUCCGGUGCCUGUCAGAAUACAGUAGCCGAAUAAUCUAAUAGACAAUAUCUGCUGAGGAUGAUGACACGUGGUAUUGCCAUGUGAUAUUACCACGUGGUAUUACCUCGUGAUAUUACCACGUGAUAUUACCACGUGAUAUUACCACGUGAUAUUACCACGUGAUAUUACCACGUGAUAUUACCACGUGAUAUUACCACGUGAUAUUACCACGUGAUAUUGCCACGUGAUAUUACCACGUGAUAUUGCCACGUGAUAUUACCACGUGAUAUUGCCACGUGAUAUUACCACGUGAUAUUACCACGUGAUAUUACCACGUGAUAUUACCACGUGAUAUUGCCACGUGAUAUUGCCACGUGAUUAUACCAUUUUAUUUGGUCGAGGUUAAAUUAACGGGUUUAUUGGUUACCAGGUUACCAGGUUGCCCUGCACUAUAUACUGUUUAUUUAUAUUACGAUAAAAGGACACUAAUUCGGUUGAUGAGCAUUUGAGAGUUUAUCCAAUGCUUUAAUAUAGCACUCUAUUAUCUUCGAUUUAUAAUUACGUAAAGGAUCAUUGUAUCUUAAUUGUUGGAUGUCGGAUUUAUUAUUUCAAAUCUUAUGCGGAUAGUUAGCAGUUAUUCUUUAUUAACAACUGAAAGGCUUAACUGAGGUCCACAAACUUUAGAUUGUGCAUUUAUAUCAAGCUAAUACAUUUUAAUAUUUACUGAUAUUUCUUCAGUAAAUUUUAUUUCAGCAACAUUUUAAAAAUACAUAUAAUUAUAAUAUUCAGGUUAUAAUGAUUCACAAAAUAUUUUUUAAGAUCCACAUUCCACAGUACUGUGCACGCAAUAUGAUCCGGUCCUCGCUUA
Bolinopsis microptera is the source of this 1355-nucleotide long non-coding RNA. RefSeq lists it as uncharacterized. The record is from RefSeq and is a predicted model, not a curated record. The transcript has 5 exons. NCBI's taxonomy places the organism in Eukaryota, Metazoa, Ctenophora, Tentaculata, Lobata, Bolinopsidae.